UAAAAAACAUAGCCCAAAGAUUUAUUUUAGGUAAAUUCUGCCCAGCGUAAUUUAUUAGCGGCCGCAGUACUUUGACUGUGCUAAGGUAGCAUAAUCAAUUGGCUUUUAAUUGUAGUCUGGAAUGAAAGGACUAAUAGGGGUUAGCUGUCUCUAUACUAUUAUUUUGAAUUUAUUUAUUAAGUGAAAAUACUUAUACAAAGAAAAAAGACGAGAAGACCCUUAGAAUUUUAAUAAAAUAUUUAAUAAUUUUUUUUUGUUGGGGCGACAUUGAAACAAUUAAACUUUCAUUGACAAUCAAGACAUUUAGGUUUGAAAGAGUAAAUUACCUUAGGGAUAACAGCAUAAUUAAUUAUUUAGUUUGUGACCUCGAUGUUGGACUAGGAACUAGAAGAUUAACCGUCUAAAUAGAUGUCGU
RNAcentral lists this ribosomal RNA (415 nucleotides) under Pseudosuccinea columella. RNAcentral's name for it is "partial 16S ribosomal RNA". The stretch from base 1 to 194 matches the Rfam family "Archaeal large subunit ribosomal RNA", at positions 1899 to 2143 of the family's 2987-position model. Lineage: Eukaryota; Metazoa; Mollusca; Gastropoda; Lymnaeidae. The record is from RNAcentral.